UAGUUUCCUCGCCUGUAAAGUCAGG
RNAcentral lists this non-coding RNA (25 nucleotides) under Mus musculus (house mouse). The record is from RNAcentral. Lineage: Eukaryota; Metazoa; Chordata; Mammalia; Rodentia; Muridae.